GAUGAAGAACGUAGCAAAAUGCGAUAAGUAAUGUGAAUUGCAGAAUUCAGUGAAUCAUCGAAUCUUUGAACGCACAUUGCGCCCGCUGGUAUUCCGGCGGGCAUGCCUGUUCGAGCGUCAUUUCAACCCUCAAGCCCCCGGGUUUGGUGUUGGGGAUCGGCUCUGCCCUUCUGGGCGGUGCCGCCCCCGAAAUACAUUGGCGGUCUCGCUGCAGCCUCCAUUGCGUAGUAGCUAACACCUCGCAACUGGAACGCGGCGCGGCGAUGCCGUAAAACCCCAACUUCUGAAUGUUGACCUCGGAUCAGGUAGGAAUACCCGCUGAACUUAAGCAUAUCAAUAAGCGGAGGA
Molecule: unclassified non-coding RNA, 348 nt
Filed under: soil metagenome
Description: partial contains 5.8S ribosomal RNA, internal transcribed spacer 2, and large subunit ribosomal RNA
Rfam family: 5.8S ribosomal RNA (bases 1-120)
Source: RNAcentral